Molecule: ribosomal RNA, 253 nt
Filed under: uncultured bacterium
Lineage: Bacteria
Description: partial 16S ribosomal RNA
Rfam family: Bacterial small subunit ribosomal RNA
Source: RNAcentral
UACGGGGGGGGCAAGCGUUGUUCGGAAUUACUGGGCGUAAAGGGCUCGUAGGCGGCCAACUAAGUCAGACGUGAAAUCCCUCGGCUUAACCGGGGAACUGCGUCUGAUACUGGAUGGCUAGAGGUUGGGAGAGGGAUGCGGAAUUCCAGGUGUAGCGGUGAAAUGCGUAGAUAUCUGGAGGAACACCGGUGGCGAAGGCGGGAUCCUGGGCCAGUACUGACGCUGAGGAGCGAAAGCGUGGGGAGCAAACAGG